UACGGGAGGCAGCAGUGGGGAAUAUUGCACAAUGGGCGCAAGCCUGAUGCAGCCAUGCCGCGUGUAUGAAGAAGGCCUUCGGGUUGUAAAGUACUUUCAGUCGUGAGGAAGGUGUUAAGGUUAAUAACCUUAGCAAUUGACGUUAGCGACAGAAGAAGCACCGGCUAACUCCGUGCCAGCAGCCGCGGUAAUACGGAGGGUGCGAGCGUUAAUCGGAAUUACUGGGCGUAAAGGGCACGCAGGCGGUUAAUUAAGUUGGAUGUGAAAUCCCCGGGCUUAACCUGGGAAUGGCAUUCAAGACUGGUUAGCUAGAGUCUUGUAGAGGGGGUAGAAUUCCAUGUGUAGCGGUGAAAUGCGUAGAGAUGUGGAGGAAUACCGGUGGCGAAGGCGGCCCCUGGACAAAGACUGACGCUCAUGUGCGAAAGCGUGGGGAGGCAAACAGGGAUUAGAUAC
This 453-nucleotide ribosomal RNA is filed under the name uncultured bacterium. RNAcentral's name for it is "bacterial SSU rRNA". It matches the Rfam family "Bacterial small subunit ribosomal RNA", at positions 340 to 785 of the family's 1533-position model. The record is from RNAcentral.